GGGGAAUAUUGCACAAUGGGCGCAAGCCUGAUGCAGCGACGCCGCGUGAGGGAUGGAGGCCUUCGGGUUGUAAACCUCUUUUAUCGGGGAGCAAGCGAGAGUGAGUUUACCCGUUGAAUAAGCACCGGCUAACUACGUGCCAGCAGCCGCGGUAAAACGUAGGUCACAAGCGUUGUCCGGAAUUACUGGGUGUAAAGGGAGCGCAGGCGGGAAGACAAGUUGGAAGUGAAAUCCAUGGGCUCAACCCAUGAACUGCUUUCAAAACUGUUUUUCUUGAGUAGUGCAGAGGUAGGCGGAAUUCCCGGUGUAGCGGUGGAAUGCGUAGAUAUCGGGAGGAACACCAGUGGCGAAGGCGGCCUACUGGGCACCAACUGACGCUGAGGCUCGAAAGCAUGGGUAGCAAACAGGAUUAGAUACCCUGGUAGUCCAUGCCGUAAACGAUGAUUACUAGGUGUUGGGGGAUUGACCCCCUCAGUGCCGCAGUUAACACAAUAAGUAAUCCACCUGGGGAGUACGACCGCAAGGUUGAAACUCAAAGGAAUUGACGGGGGCCCGCACAAGCAGUGGAGUAUGUGGUUUAAUUCGACGCAACGCGAAGAACCUUACCAAGUCUUGACAUCCCUUGACAGACAUAGAAAUAUGUAAUCUCUUCGGAGCAAGGAGACAGGUGGUGCAUGGUUGUCGUCAGCUCGUGUCGUGAGAUGUUGGGUUAAGUCCCGCAACGAGCGCAACCCUUAUGGUCAGUUACUACGCAAGAGGACUCUGGCCAGACUGCCGUUGACAAAACGGAGGAAGGUGGGGAUGACGUCAAAUCAUCAUGCCCUUUAUGACUUGGGCUACACACGUACUACAAUGGCGUUAAACAAAGAGAAGCAAGACCGCGAGGUGGAGCAAAACUCAGAAACAACGUCCCAGUUCGGACUGCAGGCUGCAACUCGCCUGCACGAAGUCGGAAUUGCUAGUAAUCGUGGAUCAGCAUGCCACGGUGAAUACGUUCCCG
RNAcentral lists this ribosomal RNA (1000 nucleotides) under uncultured bacterium. Its description in RNAcentral is "bacterial SSU rRNA". It matches the Rfam family "Bacterial small subunit ribosomal RNA", at positions 356 to 1376 of the family's 1533-position model. The record is from RNAcentral.